RNAcentral lists this ribosomal RNA (498 nucleotides) under uncultured bacterium. RNAcentral describes it as "partial 16S ribosomal RNA". It matches the Rfam family "Bacterial small subunit ribosomal RNA", at positions 28 to 508 of the family's 1533-position model. The record is from RNAcentral.
GAUGAACGCUGGCGGCGUGCCUAAUACAUGCAAGUCGAGCGAACAGACGAGGAGCUUGCUCCUCUGACGUUAGCGGCGGACGGGUGAGUAACACGUGGAUAACCUACCUAUAAGACUGGGAUAACUUCGGGAAACCGGAGCUAAUACCGGAUAAUAUAUUGAACCGCAUGGUUCAAUAGUGAAAGACGGUUUUGCUGUCACUUAUAGAUGGAUCCGCGCCGCAUUAGCUGGUUGGUAAGGUAACGGCUUACCAAGGCAACGAUGCGUAGCCGACCUGAGAGGGUGAACGGCCACACUGGAACUGAGACACGGUCCAGACUCCUACGGGAGGCAGCAGUAGGGAAUCUUCCGCAAUGGGCGAAAGCUUGACGGAGCAACGCCGCGUGAGUGAUGAAGGGCUUCGGAUCGUAAAACUCGGUUAUUAGGGAAGAACAAAUGUGUAAGUAACUAUGCGCGUCUUGACGGUAACUAAUCAGAAAGCCACGGCUAAAUACGGGC